GGCGACAGAGCGAGACUCCGUCUCAACAACUAUGACAACAACAAACAGUUUGGGACAGAGAAAAAUCCCUGUAAACUUCAAGCCUUUUGGGGUGCUCUUGGGUGAACUCCUAAAUUGCUCAAGGGCUAACUUCCUCAUUUAUUAUUAAAAGAAAAAAGAAAAAGGCAGAGGCCAGUGGUGAAGGCUGGCGAUUUCUGGUCUAGGGUGAGAGAUAACAGAAAGUAACAAUGGAGGCUCUCGCAGUGCUCGCAGGCACUCAAGGAACGGAAAGGAAAUUGCACAUUUCACCCGUGACUGCAUAGGCAAACGAGAACAGCAAGUCUCUGCUUUCAGCUGGAAUGUUAUCAACUUCGGUCACGCUGAUUAUCUCAGGCUGAUCAGGAAGGCUGGUACCAGGAGUGAGUGACUAAAUGAAGAAAUUACUAAUUAACAAAUGCUUGGGUGGACAAUCCUUCAAAAUUUAGGAUCAAUGGGAGGAGACAGAAGGAGUCUUGGGAGGAUUUUUAAAAUAUGCCAGAGCUGGCUGGGUACAGUGGCUCACACCUGUAACCUGAGGACUUUGAGGUGGAGACGGGCAGACCACCUGAGCUCAGGAGCUCAAGACCAGCCUGGGCAACAUGGCAAAACCCUGUCUCUACUAACACUAUAAAAAGUUAGCUGGGCGUGUUGGUGCAUGCUGUAGUCCCAGCUACUCAGGAGGCUGAGCCACGAGAAUCGCUUGAACCUGGGAGAUGGAGGUUGAAGUGAGCCAAGAUCGCACCAUUGCACUCCAGCCUGGGGAAAAAAAAAAGCCAGGCCUCCUAAUGUACUCAUUUAAACAUCACUUGUGUCCACCUGGGUUCAGAAUUGCGCUGGACAUGGGAUACACAAAGCGGGAGUGGAAUUUUCAGGAAGCAGCUGUGCUGUGGGUGACGGUCAUACUUUAUUCUCUAAAACUCUCCAGUUUCAAUUGGCCUCUUGGUGCCAAAGCACCAUGGCGUGUUACACCUAUCAGAUCGGGCACACUGCCCCUUCUUCCCAACCUACGAGCUGAAAUGGCCAGCACUGCGCCUUCCAGAACCCAGCGUAGAUGCACAGCUGCCACGGAGGUAGGAAGAAUGAUUCGUUUGCCACCAAAAGCCCAGUUUCUCCAACAGGUAAGUCCCAGCAGGGUGCGAUGUCCCAAACCUACACAACCGUUUCCACUGCCUAUUCCCGGGCCCCUCACUUGGGUCAAGGCAGCAUUUCAGAGGAAGCCAGGAGCGAGAACUCGUGCAUCCGAACCCUUCUCUGACUUGGCGGGUUAUUGGAUUAGCUACUCUCAGAAGACCCAAAAGGCAUAGGGGAGAGAAGAGAUAAAUCUGGAUGCGGUGGAGACAACGGCCAAACAGAAAAACCGCUUGGAGAAUAAAAGUCGGGGGAAGCCUGUAGUGGGGACGCUAGACUCAAGGGAAGGCUCUGGAGGAAGGAAGAGGCUAAAGGCAUAGUUUCGUAACCCCUCCCUACAAACUACCCCCUUUCCCUCUGCCCAAGUGAGCACAGGGACCGCCCCGCAGCAAGACGACGGCAGAUAUUUAAAAUGUGAGGAACCCCGGCCACAGCGGGCGGGGCUCCCCACCCAUCACCUAGUGUCCUCACUCACUGCACUCCAGACUUUGUCAAAGUGGUGGCAGCUGAGUCCAGCACCAGAGAUUGGUGAUGCUCGGGUUGAUUUCAUUGUCAAGUGCAUCUGGCAGGACUCUAGUUUGUCGACAGUAUUCCAGACAAGGUGUAGCUGGCUGAACCGCAGUGCCUCGGCAUUUGGGACCAUUGAAAAAUACUCUGGAUUCUUUUUUUUUCUUUUGCAAUUGCACAAGGAUUUACUUAUCUCUCUUCAUGGGUGAAACUGAUUUGGGGGGAAACUGCUAGACUCAAUGACCAGUUGGACUGUAGGCAAGAAGGCCCAUGAUUUUGUUCCUCAGAUAAAAGAGCAGCAGGGAAACAGGAGGCCUCUCUCCUGCAAAGCUGGUCCAAAGUGCACACAAGGCAUGGCUGAGCGCCUGGUGAUGCACAGUCAGCAGACGGGCGAGACCCAGGAACGUGUACUGUAACAAGAGAGUCUAGUGCAGGUUGUUGGGGGGGCUUGAGGCUAUCCGCUGACAUCUUUUCUCCCCAGUCAGGAGACAGUAGGGGAGAUGGUUCUCAUAGAUCAAGUCGGGCUUUGAGAAGGAAGGUGAACAGGAGAAAAAAAAAAAUAGAGGCCUCAGAAAGCCCCUCCCUCCCAAGUCUCUCCUCACAGGCGAACCACGACAGAUGGCUGCGCGGCCUGAGGGCCGGCCUCCAGGCAGCCAGGGAGGAGCAGCUGCAAGUCCUGCAGUCUGUGAGACCCCCGAAGGGUCUGGGCCAGCAUCCAAGGCUAAAGCCUUGGCUAUCCUAACGCCGCAGUGGGGCACUUAAAGCUCCUCACGCCCAAGCCCAGGCCUGGUGGGAGCACGGUUCUCUCCCGCGCUCCCCCUCCUCCCCACUCCACGGCCACCCUUCCUUCCAAUCGUCCCCCUGGAGUUCGUGUUGGAAGAUGCCAGUGAGCACGUCUCAGGGCUCUACGCCUUGCACGGAUGAGUAUGGGGUGACUCAGAGGGAAGGGGUGGUGGCAGAUGCCUGCAGCUGGCUCCCAGCCAGGUUUGGCCAUCCUGCGUAAAUGCCUGCCUUGGGUCUUGGCCUAAUACUAAGGGCAAAUCCCAAGAGGGGUGAGUGGGCUUCUGGAAUCUGAGCAAUUCUGCUUUCAAAACAGGUGAAUCCCUAGGCCAGCCCGGCCCCUUCCCACACACCCCUACCCCGAGACGGGUGCAGAAUCAGCAGCGGGGAUCAUCCAGAGACUCUCGCAGUCCACGGCAGGUGUCGGAGUGGGCCUCAUUCCAGAGUUGUGGUGGCCGCUCCACCUGGCGAGCUUCGAGGGGACUCCGGCAGGCGCUCGCUGUGGGGUCCUCCCACCAGUCUUCUCAGCACAGGAACGGUGCCUUCACAUUGGUCUUCCGGGGCUUAAAAGCAUAUCAUUCCUGCUUGCUCUUCAGAUGCAAACUCCCCCUCCAAGGAUACCUCCAGGUUCCCUGCCAGCUCACUUGACUCACAUGGCAAUGGUCACCGGGCUGCCUGAGCCCAAAUCAAGCACCGUUUAUUAGGGGGAAGCUCCGUUAUCCAGAAAGCUCAUCUUUGAAGAGCUACCCAUUUCCUGCCAAAGUUGUGGCGGGAAGGCCUUAGGUACUAGAAAACCUUGGGGAAUGGCAAUUAAAGGAUUAUCAUUCUUACUUAUUUGUUUGGAUAAGCAGCAAUCACCCUUCGGAUGCUUAUUGGUGAGAAUAUUUCUAAAAGUGUCCUGCACAUUUCCCUGCUUUGAUGAAUGGAACGGCAGGGCAGGAUUUAACUGUCUGAUGGCUACGGUUUUGGGAAAGUGCCAGAACCUCCACGUCAGCCACCCCAGAGCCACAGGCAGGGUAUGAGCCACAGCAAUGGGCCCCAAGAAAGAGCCCCACACCCACCAUGGUCCACGGAAGACGCUGCUUACUGGCCCCGGGUUACCUGGAGUCAUGUGCAUUCUCCUUACAUCAAGUGAAGAUAAUAUUUUGUUUCCUUCCCACUUUUUCUCUAACACAAGCCACCCCAGUUCUCCCUUCUGACAACAGGCAAGUGGACCCUAGUAGACCUUCCAGAAAAGCCUUAGAGAGCACCCCCAAAUGCUCACAUUUGUCAGCUGUAAUUCCACCCUCAGUUAAAACCUGAUUCUCAAUGUGACUUGGCCAACGCAGCUUGCAAAGCAAGAACGUCUUCAUCUAAGGUUGAAAACAUCAGUUGUUUGGGUUGUGAGAAAAGAAAAGCCCACAAGGUUUCCGAGGCUUGGUGCUGUUUCUCACUGUCCUCAGCUCCUGAUUCUGCAGCUGGUUCUCUCUCCAAGCACUAGCAAAACCCUGCCCUAGGAGCCCCCAGACUCUGAGAGCCCAUGACCAAAAAGAAAAGGAAAGCCAAGUUGGGGAAGAACAGGGGCCCCCAACUCCACAGCCCUCCACUCUGCCCAGAGGGCCCACCCUGGGCUGCCUGGAACCCCCUAAAGUUGCCACCCCCGCAACACAGUAGUGGGGCAGUUCCUGGCAGCGCCUGCAGCCCAUGGGCUGGCUCUGUACCCGCAGCCCCGCCAAGCGUCUGUUAUCUUAUUUACUGGAAUCUGCACAGCCAGGCUCUAGCUCACCGGUGACUAAGGAGCUGCAGCCAUUAUUACCAGGCAGAUGGCAGACUCCCUAAAAGCAGACAUUAAACAAUAAAAUGCCACCACAUACCUUGCCCACAAAAUAAAAUCAAA
RNAcentral lists this long non-coding RNA (4309 nucleotides) under Homo sapiens (human). Its description in RNAcentral is "non-protein coding lnc-GALNTL5-2:3". Lineage: Eukaryota; Metazoa; Chordata; Mammalia; Primates; Hominidae. The record is from RNAcentral.